CCUACGGGUGGCAGCCGUGAGGAAUAUUGGUCAAUGGGCGGGAGCCUGAACCAGCCAAGUCGCGUGAGGGAAGACGGUCCUAUGGAUUGUAAACCUCUUUAGGCGGGGAGCAAUGCCGGGCACGCGUCCCCGGCGGGAGAGUACCCGCAGAAAAAGCAUCGGCUAACUCCGUGCCAGCAGCCGCGGUAAUACGGAGGAUGCGAGCGUUAUCCGGUUUUAUUGGGUUUAAAGGGUGCGUAGGCGGAUUUUUAAGUCAGCGGUAAAAUGUCGGGGCUCAACCCGGGCCGGCCGUUGAAACUGGGGAGCUUGAGUGGGCGAGAAGUAGGCGGAAUGCGUGGUGUAGCGGGGAAAUGCAUAGAUAUCACGCAGAACUCCGAUUGCGAAGGCAGCAUACCGGCGCCCGACUGACGCUGAGGCACGAAAGCGUGGGGAUCGAACAGGAUUAGAUACCCGUGUAGUC
RNAcentral lists this ribosomal RNA (460 nucleotides) under uncultured bacterium. Its description in RNAcentral is "partial 16S ribosomal RNA". It matches the Rfam family "Bacterial small subunit ribosomal RNA", at positions 338 to 795 of the family's 1533-position model. The record is from RNAcentral.